CAGUCGCCGCGGUAAUGCGUAGGUGGCAAGCGUUGUCCGGAAUUAUUGGGCGUAAAGGGCUCGCAGGCGGUUUCUUAAGUCUGAUGUGAAAGCCCCCGGCUCAACCGGGGAGGGUCAUUGGAAACUGGGAAACUUGAGUGCAGAAGAGGAGAGUGGAAUUCCACGUGUAGCGGUGAAAUGCGUAGAGAUGUGGAGGAACACCAGUAGCGAAGGCGACUCUCUGGUCUGUAACUGACGCUGAGGAGCGAAAGCGUGGGGAGCGAACAGGAUUAGAUACCCCCGUAGUCCCUGUCUCUUAUAC
Molecule: ribosomal RNA, 301 nt
Filed under: uncultured bacterium
Lineage: Bacteria
Description: partial 16S ribosomal RNA
Rfam family: Bacterial small subunit ribosomal RNA
Source: RNAcentral